GGACCCGCACAAGCGGUGGAACAUGUGGUUUAAUUCGAUGAUACGCGAAGAACCUUACCAGGGUUUGACAUCCUGCGAAUUUCUUGGAAACGAGAAAGUGCCUUCGGGAACGCAGUGACAGGUGGUGCAUGGCUGUCGUCAGCUCGUGUCGUGAGAUGUUGGGUUAAGUCCCGCAACGAGCGCAACCCACGUCUUUAGUUGCCAGCAUUUAGUUGGGCACUCUAGAGAGACCGCCGGUGAUAAACCGGAGGAAGGUGUGGAUGACGUCAAGUCAUCAUGCCCCUUACAUCCUGGGCUACACACGUACUACAAUGCUACGGACAAAGAGCAGCAAGUUCGCGAGGACAAGCAAAUCUCAUAAACCGUGGCUCAGUUCAGAUCGUAGGCUGCAACUCGCCUACGUGAAGGAGGAAUCGCUAGUAAUCG
Molecule: ribosomal RNA, 426 nt
Filed under: uncultured bacterium
Lineage: Bacteria
Description: bacterial SSU rRNA
Rfam family: Bacterial small subunit ribosomal RNA
Source: RNAcentral